Small nuclear RNA from Homo sapiens (human), 143 nucleotides. The record is from Ensembl. Lineage: Eukaryota; Metazoa; Chordata; Mammalia; Primates; Hominidae.
AACUUCACAAAGAGGCAGUAUUACACCCACUGAGGUUUAUCCAAGGUAUGAUUCUUGCUAACUGAAAACUUUUCUCAAUGUCUCACCAUGAUGACUUGAAGUCUGAUAUUCGACUUUGGCAAUUUUUAACAAUCACUGUGGGA